This is a non-coding RNA of Mycotypha africana, 73 nucleotides long. Lineage: Eukaryota; Fungi; Mucoromycota; Mucoromycetes; Mucorales; Mycotyphaceae. The record is from the annotation of a RefSeq genome assembly.
GCCUUCUUGGCUCAGUUGGCAGAGCGUCUGCCUAGUAAGCAGAAGGUCGGCGGUUCGAUUCCGCCAGAAGGCA